ACUCCAUUUAUCUACAUUCUGAUCCCUACCGUCUUUCCCAAUCUCUUCAUCGCCGAUUGCCAUCGUCGACCUCGAUGCCACCGAUCGCUCAAUGUCGCCUCUCUCUUGACUCUCUCCACCAUCGGCCAUGGGAGAUCUAUUGUUGUCGAGUCUCUCCCUCUCACACAAUCAUGUUGUGAUGCCCCCGCUCAAUCGCUGCUACUUGAUCGUUGCUAUUCCGUCGUCGCCACUUUGUGUGAGGCUAGCACUGUGACACUGACGCCAUCGGUCGUUGCGAGAGGGUUGGUUUCUCUGUGUACCCUCGUUCCUUCUUCGGUGCCAAGUCCAGCCACCGUCGAACCCCUUCUUCCUCUCGAUCUCUUCAGCAACGCCAUCGCCCACACAUCACCCUUGCUUUUGUCGGUGUGGUGUUGCGGCUACAGUCGCCAGUGAGCGAUCGCGACCAUAUUUCAGCCGGCCAUGAUUGAGGAAGCAACACAGUUAUCUUAAAGGAAAAUGGUUUCAUUUGGUACCGGCCACCAUCACUGGCAGUGGAUUGCUCCGACCAUGAGCCAACAAGCCAACAGUAGAGUGCAAUGGAUUUGGGCUAGCAACAGGAGGUGCGGGCAGUAGUAGACCACUGCUUUGGAUGCCUUGGAUUUGUUGGGCUAUCAGAAAUUGCUGCUGUGGAGAGAAUAAGAAACAGUAAGUUAGUUGGAUGACAAAAGUUUAGUGGGAUGCAUUAGCAGAAUUAUGUGCCAAAUGCAGUUUCAGAAAAGGAAUGCAGUUUCAGAAAUCAAAUAUUUAUCAACAGGAAUCAGAUUAUGUGCCAAAUGCAGAUAUGCAGGAAUUUUUCAGGCUUGAGUCAGAUUAUGUUCUGUUGCUGAAUUUAUUUCUUAAGUUCAGAUAUGCAGGAAUUUUUCAGGCUUGAGUCUGAAUCUGCACUCUGUUUGAAGAAAUGAAUAGGUCAAUGAUAUGGUCAAUGAAUGUAUCCACAAGAACUAGCUGCUGGAUUGCGCUAUGAAUUCUGUUUGCAGAUUUUUAAUUAGUAGAUGUAAACUUAGCUGAAAUCCUUAUUUCCUUAUUAUCAUCUGGU
Molecule: long non-coding RNA, 1075 nt
Organism: Zingiber officinale
Lineage: Eukaryota; Viridiplantae; Streptophyta; Magnoliopsida; Zingiberales; Zingiberaceae
Exons: 4
Source: RefSeq, a predicted model, not a curated record